This is a microRNA precursor of Cricetulus griseus (Chinese hamster), 65 nucleotides long. NCBI's taxonomy places the organism in Eukaryota, Metazoa, Chordata, Mammalia, Rodentia, Cricetidae. The record is from Ensembl.
CUCGAAUCCUUGGAACCUAGGUGUGAGUGCUGCUUCAGUGCAACACACCUGUUCAAGGAUUCAAA